This 62-nucleotide non-coding RNA is filed under the name Vibrio phage 1.209.O._10N.222.52.B2. The record is from RNAcentral. Lineage: Duplodnaviria; Heunggongvirae; Uroviricota; Caudoviricetes; Zobellviridae.
CACCAAAAACCUGAGCCACACCCGAGCCUUACCAAACACCUCAGCCUCGCCAGACACCUUAG